RNAcentral lists this ribosomal RNA (584 nucleotides) under uncultured bacterium. Its description in RNAcentral is "bacterial SSU rRNA". It matches the Rfam family "Bacterial small subunit ribosomal RNA", at positions 340 to 917 of the family's 1533-position model. The record is from RNAcentral.
UACGGGAGGCAGCAGUGGGGAAUUUUGGACAAUGGGGGCAACCCUGAUCCAGCAAUGCCGCGUGUGUGAAGAAGGCCUUCGGGUUGUAAAGCACUUUUGUCCGGAAAGAAAUCCUCUGCCCUAAUACGGCGGGGGGAUGACGGUACCGGAAGAAUAAGCACCGGCUAACUACGUGCCAGCAGCCGCGGUAAUACGUAGGGUGCAAGCGUUAAUCGGAAUUACUGGGCGUAAAGCGUGCGCAGGCGGUGAUGUAAGACCGAUGUGAAAUCCCCGGGCUUAACCUGGGAACUGCAUUUGUGACUGGCGGGCUAGAGUAUGGCAGAGGGGGGUAGAAUUCCACGUGUAGCAGUGAAAUGCGUAGAGAUGUGGAGGAAUACCGAUGGCGAAGGCAGCCCCCUGGGCCAAUACUGACGCUCAUGCACGAAAGCGUGGGGAGCAAACAGGAUUAGAUACCCUGGUAGUCCACGCCCUAAACGAUGUCAACUGGUUGUCGGGCCUUCAUUGGCUUGGUAACGUAGCUAACGCGUGAAGUUGACCGCCUGGGGAGUACGGUCGCAAGAUUAAAACUCAAAGGAAUUGACGGA